RNAcentral lists this ribosomal RNA (254 nucleotides) under uncultured bacterium. Its description in RNAcentral is "partial 16S ribosomal RNA". It matches the Rfam family "Bacterial small subunit ribosomal RNA", at positions 524 to 776 of the family's 1533-position model. The record is from RNAcentral.
UACGGGGGGAGCAAGCGUUGUUCGGAUUUACUGGGCGUAAAGGGCGCGUAGGCGGCCACCGCACGUCGGUUGUGAAAUCCCCGGGCUUAACCUGGGAACUGCAGUCGAGACUGUCUAGCUAGAGUAUGGGAGAGGGAAGUGGAAUUUCAGGUGUAGCGGUGAAAUGCGUAGAUAUCUGAAGGAACAUCAGUGGCGAAAGCGACUUCCUGGACCAAUACUGACGCUCAUGUGCGAAAGCGUGGGGAGCAAACAGG